CACCGCCCGUCACACCCUGGGAAUAGGUUUCGCCCGAAGCAUCGGACCAAUGAUCACCCAUGACUUCUGUGUACCACUAGUGCCACAAAGGCUUUUGGUGGUCUUAUUGGCGCAUACCACGGUGGGGUCUUCGACUGGGGUGAAGUCGUAACAAGGUAGCCGUAGGGGAACCUGUGGCUG
This 180-nucleotide non-coding RNA is filed under the name Helianthus annuus (common sunflower). RNAcentral describes it as "sRNA HanXRQr2_Chr08g0360051". It matches the Rfam family "Bacterial small subunit ribosomal RNA", at positions 1388 to 1520 of the family's 1533-position model. Lineage: Eukaryota; Viridiplantae; Streptophyta; Magnoliopsida; Asterales; Asteraceae. The record is from Rfam by way of RNAcentral.